Octopus sinensis (East Asian common octopus) is the source of this 849-nucleotide long non-coding RNA. RefSeq lists it as uncharacterized. Lineage: Eukaryota; Metazoa; Mollusca; Cephalopoda; Octopoda; Octopodidae. The record is from RefSeq and is a predicted model, not a curated record. The transcript is spliced from 3 exons.
CAUAUUAAUCUUAGAAGACAAUAUCACACAAUGCAUUUGCAGUACCAGUGCUGAUUCCAAGAUUUGGAAUACUUGACUGGUCUGUAGAAGAAAUCCACUCCAUAGAUAUUAAAACCCACAAGAUUUUAACAUCAACUGGAAAUCUCUACAAAAAUAGUGAUAUUGACAGGCUCUACCUAAGAAGAGAUAAAUGAGGUAGAGGCUUGAGAUGAGUGCAGACAGCCUUUGAAUGUCGCAUAGUCUCUCUCAGACAGCACUUGCUAGACAACAACAGUAGAAAUAAAUACAUUAACAGUGGUGGAAACAGAAGAAAACUAUAUCCUGUGUGUUGGAAGUGAGCUCCUCAGGAAUUAUUCUUUUCCUGAUGACCUCCCAUACAAUCCCAAAUCAGCCAGACAAGCAUACCUCAAAGAAGACCUGGAAGUGAAACACUCAGCAUACCAAAAAAAAAAGAAGACCUUGCAUGGGUAUGUUUCUCAAAGACUUGAAGAUAGUAACAUUGACAUGAAGUGAAGCCUCUCUUAGACUCAUGACUGCUCUGUCACAUCACACUUUGAAGGCUAUGCAUUUGCAAUCCAAGGACAGGAGAUUGUAACUAAAUACGUAAUGAGCAAAAGAGACAGUGAAGCCCUUGGAGUUCCAAGAUGCAACCAAAAAUGCAGAUUAUGUCAUUUAUCUGAGGAAGACAUCACACAUGUAAUUAACAGCUGUCCAAAAAUGUCAUCAAGAUACUACCUCCCUAUACGACAUGAUGUUGUCACAAAAACAAUAUACAAUGCCAUUUGGAAAAAAGAUUGUCCUGGAAUAUAAAGAAUUCCCCUGUUAUUGAAUACAUACAUAAAUAUUAGC